Molecule: ribosomal RNA, 376 nt
Filed under: uncultured bacterium
Lineage: Bacteria
Description: bacterial SSU rRNA
Rfam family: Bacterial small subunit ribosomal RNA
Source: RNAcentral
UACGUAGGGUGCGAGCGUUAUUCGGAAUUACUGGGCGUAAAGCGUGCGCAGGCGGUUGUGUAAGACAGACGUGAAAUCCCCGGGCUCAACCUGGGAACUGCGUUUGUGACUGCACGGCUAGAGUACGGCAGAGGGGGGUGGAAUUCCACGUGUAGCAGUGAAAUGCGUAGAGAUGUGGAGGAACACCGAUGGCGAAGGCAGCCCCCUGGGCCAGUACUGACGCUCAUGCACGAAAGCGUGGGGAGCAAACAGGAUUAGAUACCCUGGUAGUCCACGCCCUAAACGAUGUCAACUAGCUGUUGGUGGGGUUAAACCCAUUAGUAGCGUAGCUAACGCGUGAAGUUGACCGCCUGGGGAGUACGGCCGCAAGGUUAAA